This 513-nucleotide ribosomal RNA is filed under the name uncultured Bacteroidota bacterium. RNAcentral describes it as "bacterial SSU rRNA". It matches the Rfam family "Bacterial small subunit ribosomal RNA", at positions 343 to 852 of the family's 1533-position model. Lineage: Bacteria; Pseudomonadati; Bacteroidota. The record is from RNAcentral.
GGGAGGGAGCAGUUAGGAAUAUUGGUCAAAGGAAGCAAGUCUGAACCAGCCAUGGCGCGAGAAAGAUGACAGCCCUAAGGGUUGUAAACUUCUUUGGUAGGGGAAAAAACCACCGGUCGUGGACCGGUGCUGAUGGUACCGUAAGAAUAAGCAUCGGCUAACUCCCUGCCAGCAGCGGUGAUAAUAGGGAGGAUGCAUGCUUCAUCAGUGAUUCAUUGGAAAUAAAGGGUGCGCAGGCGGAAAAAUAAGUCAGUAAAUAAUCGUACUGAUCAACUGUAGAACAUGCCAUUGAUACAAUCGUUCUUGAGUACAAUGGGAGUGGGAAUGACAUGUGUCAUGUAGCGAUGAAAUGCUUAUAUAUGACACAGAACACCGAUAGGGAAGGCAUCUCACUAAAUUGUAACUGACGGUCCGGCAAGAAAGGGUGGGGAUCCAGCAUGAUUAGCUACCUUGGUCGUCCCCGCAAUAAAGGAUGAUCAGUUGAUGUGGGAUAUACACUGUCAGCGUCGAAGC